This is an RNA transcript of Bactrocera tryoni, 756 nucleotides long. It is a transcript of the gene named protein lin-7 homolog C, with no coding region annotated. NCBI's taxonomy places the organism in Eukaryota, Metazoa, Arthropoda, Insecta, Diptera, Tephritidae. The record is from RefSeq and is a predicted model, not a curated record. The transcript has 4 exons.
GCUAGAAGGGUGCCUAACUUCUGAGAAACUGUGUGUGUGUGCUAUUGGGAAACAGUGUUAUAAUUUAUUUAUAUGGUGAAGUACUAAGGUCAGAAAUUUGUUGGUUGUAAAAAAGAUGUCCGUUCAAGUAGAGCCGCUGACUUUAUCUAAGGAUAUAAAGAGAGCCAUUGAGUUACUAGAUAAAUUACAAUGUAGUGGAGAUUUUCCGACAACUAAGCUUUCUGCGUUACAGAAAGUCCUCCAAAGCGAUUUUUUGAACGCUGUCCGAGAAGUUUAUGAGCACGUAUACGAAACAGUUGACAUUCAGGGUUCUCAGGAUGUUAGAGCUUCGGCCACAGCUAAAGCCACUGUUGCAGCAUUUGCUGCAAGUGAAGGACACGCUCAUCCUAGAGUAGUUGAAUUACCGAAAACUGAAGAAGAAGUUCAAAAGAGAAAAAAUAAGGCGCCGUGAAAAGCCCAAAAAAAAAUGGACUGAUACAGAAGUUGGUCAAGUUUUAGACUACUUGCAGGAGCAUCCGUUGUUUCAAUUACCACUAAACAACAUGAAAAUUUAAAUAACAACAAGACGGUUGGGUUUCUUCAAAAAAUGAAAGAAUAUGCACGGAAAACAGCUAUUAUUGAGUAUAAAGAUGAAUUACAAGAAGUAAACGGAGAUAUAGUUCAAGCGAAACCGAACUUAAUAACGGAGCGAAUUUUCAUUUAAUUCAUUGCUGCGCUUUUACACAAAUGUAAAAAAAUAUCAACCCUUAUGUUAUA